CCAAUAGCGUAUAUUAAAGUUGUUGCAGUUAAAAAGCUCGUAGUUGAAUUUCGAGCUCAAUUUGUCGGUCGUGCCUCGGUACGUACUGGCAUUAUUGAUUUCUCCCUUCUGAAGAACCGCGAUGUCAUUCAUUUGGUGUCGUGUGGAUUCAGGACUGUUACUUUGAAAAAAUUAGAGUGUUUAAAGCAGGCGCACGCUUGAAUACUUUAGUAUGGAAUAAUGAAAUAGUAAGUUUGAUUCUAUUUUGUUGGUUUCUAGGAUCGACGUAAUGAUUAAUAGGGAUAGUUGGGGGCAUUAGUAUUCAAUUGUCAGAGGUGAAAUUCUUGGAUUUAUUGAAGACUAACUACUGCGAAAGCAUUUGCCAAGGAUGUUUUCAUUAAUCAAGAACGAAAGUUAGGGGAUCGAAGACGAUCAGAUACCGUCGUAGUCUUAACCAUAAACUAUGCCGACUAGGGAUCGGAUGAUGUUAAUUUUUUAAUGACUCAUUCGGCGCCUUACG
Molecule: ribosomal RNA, 499 nt
Filed under: uncultured Glomeromycotina
Lineage: Eukaryota; Fungi; Glomeromycota
Description: partial small subunit ribosomal RNA
Rfam family: Eukaryotic small subunit ribosomal RNA
Source: RNAcentral